GAGAGAGAGUGUGAGAGAGAGAGAGAGUAGUACUCUAGUCGGCACCCUGGGGAGGAAACAUCCAACCCACCGGCUGCCAUCUGAUUCGAUUGAUCUCAUACGGGAAAAUCGUUACGGGAUGAUCAAAAGGAACGUAUUUUGCUAUUUCCUCCGUACAACCUGUUGCUCCUUUUCCGGAUAAGAUGGUAACAACGCCACCAGCAUCCCCCCGGGUUUAUUCAUAAGCGUUGACAGGUCGCCUUUCGACUCGGAUGUAACACAGAGGAGUUUCAGUUCAGGCACAAGGCGUCCUAAAAAACAGGAGAAGUGGACGGGACGAGCUGUGAGAGGAAUACAAAUUAUACUACUGAAAGAAAAAUCCGUCCAAUGACAGGAACGAGCCGAGCUGCCGGUGUGAAGCGUCAAAACUGAGAACUGCCUUUGAGGUCUGCUGUCCACUGUCCGAAGAGAGGAUUCGGGAAAUUACAGUUUUAAAGUGUUUAAAGACCUAAACGGAGGGAUGACUGUCAAGCUGGACUUUGAGGAGUGUUUAAAAGACUCUCCGCGAUUCAGAGCUGAAAUUGAGGUGGUCCAAAAUGAUGUCAGUGAACUUGAGACACGACUAGACAAGCUUGUGAAACAAUGCCAGGCCAUGCUGGAGGCAAGCAAAGUCUACUGUCAGACCAGCAAGAGCUUUGUCAGUGGCCUGCGGGAUCUGGGACACAACUGCUCAGGGGACAACAUGAUGGAGGAGUGUUUGGAGAAAUUUUCCAAGAAGCUGUCUCUCAUCCUGGAUGCACAGGAGGAAGUAAUCGAGGUCACGCAGAAGGCGGUCAAAACGAAGCUGCAGAACUUUGUCAAAGAAGAUGUCCGACGCUUCAAAGAUGUGCGUAAGGAGUUUGAGCGUGGCAGCGAGUGUCUGGAGGGGGCGCUGUCGAGGAACGCUCAGGCUCCACGAGGGAAACAGCAUGAAGUGGAGGAGGCCAGUAAUGCUCUGCUCAACGCACGCAGGACGUUUCGGUCUGAGGCUCUGGAUUACGUUCUGGAGAUUAAUGUCAUUGAGGCUAAGAAGAAAACGGACAUUGUGACGGCAAUGUUGUCACUGAUGGAGGCCCAGGCUAAUUUCUUCCAACAUGGCCACCAGUCGCUGUCAGAAUUGGACGAGUAUCGACGAAAGCUAAAUGAUGAGCACACACAGUUUGUUCUCAACGCUGCCAGGGAGAAGAGAGACAUGGAGCAAAGACACGCUGCGAUCAAGAAAAAGGAUGUUUCAUACGAUGAUUCCAUCAUGGAUUUUAACGCUGAUGCAGCUAACGGGAUUGCCAUGGAGGGAUACCUCUAUAAGAGAGCCAGUAAUGCCUUCAAGACAUGGAGCAGGCGCUGGUUUUCAAUUCAGAAAAAUCAGCUGGUGUAUCAGAAGAAAUUUAAGGACCAGCCCACUGUUGUGGUGGAGGACUUGCGUCUUUGCACAGUGAAGCCCAGCACUGAGAACGAGAGACGCUUCUGCUUUGAAGUGGUCUCCCCGUCAAAGUGUUGUUUGUUGCAGGCAGACUCAGAACGGCAGCAGCAGGCUUGGAUCAGCGCCGUCCAAAACAGCAUUGCCUCAGCCUUUCAGGAGCACAGAGAGGACCCACACAGCCCAAGGCAGCGCUGCAGCUCGGUGUCAGCGGGCACUUUUGGAGGAGGUGGGGGAGGAGGUGGUGGAGGAGCAGACCAGGAGAACACCGGUUGUAAAGCGCUAGAGGAGGUUCAGGCGAUCCCCGGGAACAAGCAGUGCUGCGACUGUGGGGAGCCCAGUCCUGAUUGGGCCUCCAUCAACUUAGGCAUCACACUUUGUAUCGUCUGCUCCGGGAUACAUAGGAGCCUGGGAGUCCAUUUCUCCAAGGUACGCUCACUCACGCUGGACUCCUGGGAGCCUGAGCUCAUUAAGUUGAUGUGUGAAUUAGGAAACACGGUCAUCAACAGGAUCUACGAGGCACGGAUUGAUGAGAUCACCAUCAAGAAGCCACACCCCUCCAGUCCCAGAGGCGACAAGGAGUCAUGGAUACGCUCCAAGUAUGUGGAAAAGAAGUUCAUCAGAAAGCUGCCGGAGACGGGCAUGAACCCCCUGCUGAGGCGAUCCAGUGCAAGGAGGAACCGAGCAACCACACAAGACAAGACCGUGCAGCGACCGGCACUUAAGCCCAAACCAAACCGAGCCACUCUGCCUCGAGUCACAGGGUUGAGCCCCAGUGACAUCCAAAAGAACAACAAAGGCACCCACAAAGAUGCAGAUGAGGAAGAGGAGGAUCUGAGCGGCCUCCAUCCCGGGGCGCUGCUGUAUCGCUCAGCGGCCCUGCAGAACUUCCCUGUCAUGGCCGACGCUUUGGCCCACGGAGCCGACGUCAACUGGGUCAAUGUGGCCGAGGAAUCCAGCACGCCGCUCAUACAGGCCGUCUCAGCUAAUGCUCUGGCUGCCUGUGAGUUCCUGCUGCAGAACGGGGCUAAUGUCAACCAGGUGGACAGCAACGGGAGGGGACCACUCCAUCACGCCACCAUCCUUGGUCAUACUGGGUUGGUCUGUCUGUUCUUAAAGCGAGGCGCCGACUACAACGCCAAAGACAAAAACCAGAAAGACCCCAUAACAAUCGCUGUGGAGGCCGCCAACGCUGACAUCGUCACUUUGCUGCGGAUCGCCAAGAUGAACAAGGAGAUGAGGGAGAUGGACGGAGCGUUUGGCCAAUCAGGUCACUCAGGGGGUCAGGGAUCUGGGGGUUUAUCAGGCGGGACAGGAGGGGGGCUGGCUCAUACGAGGAAGAGCCUCCAGGCUAUAAAGAACCACAUCAGCGGCUGGGCUCUGGGGGGGCAGAACGAUUAGUGGGGAUAAAAUCAUCCCAGGACAAAAGACAGAUGACUUUUUAAAAGCUAAAUGGGAAAAGAUGCUUUUGUGACGUUGUUAAGCAUCAGAAAUCACUCAUGUUUAUCAGAGAUAAUCCCCGCUUUCAGUGAGGGAAACAUGCGUCAUCAUUUGUGAGAUUAUUUAACAGAAAACUGUCUUUGCUGGGAGAGCAUUAAAGCAAAGACUUGUAAAUGAAGAAGCACAGAGUAAAACAGUGAGAAAGAGCAAGAUCGUGUGAGAGAAGAAGAGACAUGUGAGAGACAUUCUUUAAAGCACUUUGAACUGAAACGCACAUCAUGCUGCACUUUGACCCACAAAAUUUCGACAUAUCCUGUCAAUGUUGAGCGCUGCAUGUGGGUUUCUCCUAUGUUAAACUUAGUUUAAAAAGAUGUCUAUAUAAAAGACCUUUUUAGGCCUGUUUUAGCUUUUUUUAUUGUAUAUAAGUGGUGUUUUUAUACAGAUUUUGUACAGUGUUUUGGUGUCUUUUUCAGUUCAGUUAUGUAAGCUAAAUUCAAUGUUGGAUUUGGUUCUCAAGGACGAUUUUUUCCUGCUAUUCUGUGAAUAGUGACUCAGCCUGAACUCUGUUACACCUUAGGGUUUGUUAUGUGAAUACAUUCCAUGUUUCUGUUUAUUUAUGAGAAUUUCAUGCAGCCAGUCAGGUCCAAGAGCCCUCAAGCUUGAGGUUAAAAGUGGGUUUUGUUUGCAUUUGUUUCCUUUUGAUGCUGCAAAAUCCAUUCUUUCAUGAGGAUAAUAACACCCAUUGUGUUCGGUUUACAACUGGCUCAUGAAGGAAUGGAAACGUGACGCUUUUUUUCCUGCGACUGCUGGUCAGUUUUUGACGUGCUGUGCCUUUUCAUUGUGUCUGUCCUCUUUGCCUUCUGCCCUGCUGAGAUGUCCGGCUGGUCUCAUCUGCUUGUGCAGUGUGCCACCUGCUGCAAACUCAGAGGUGACGAAACCUACCAGGACAUCUUCCGAGACUUCUCACACAUGGCCUCAAACAACCCUGAGAAGCUCAAACGCCGCAGUGCAGACCCCAAAACUUAACCAUCUGUACAUUCCUUUGUUCACACCCAAUCAUUUCAAACAUACACAUUUAUAUAUAGAAAAAAACACGACCGCAAGCAUGCACAUUAACACAAGCAAACACACAUGGCUAUCCCUGGCUGCCUGCCACAUGUUCAGUCAUCGCUCAGCUGGUGUUGACUUCAGCGCAGACAAACGCUCCUAACAGUGAAUUCUUUGUGCGAACACGUCAGAGCAGAAUAAUCACGUCUGAGUGGGAAAAGCUUUACGAGAGCAGCAUGAGGCGUCUUUAUGAGCAGCAGAGGCUCACACCAUCACUCUGCCAACAUUUCCUAAUUAAACUGUAAUUUUCUUAAGGCUAAAGAGCUGUUUUUUGUUCCUCUGCCAUUUCUGUUGUCUAUUUACACGAGUAAAGGAGAGAAAACAUUGUCAGGAAUGAGAUAAGUGAUGCAAAAAGAUUUUAUGUCAAAUGUUUUCCACCAAAUUGUGAUGUACACUCUUCUUUUUAACUUUUGGGACAUUUUUAGACACCAUCUCUUUUGUGGUACUUGAAAUUUGUAUUAAGAUCAAAUAAACAGCAAAAAUU
Cheilinus undulatus (humphead wrasse) is the source of this 4466-nucleotide RNA transcript. It is a transcript of the gene named ArfGAP with coiled-coil, ankyrin repeat and PH domains 1, with no coding region annotated. The transcript is spliced from 23 exons. NCBI's taxonomy places the organism in Eukaryota, Metazoa, Chordata, Actinopteri, Labriformes, Labridae. The record is from RefSeq and is a predicted model, not a curated record.